This 731-nucleotide unclassified non-coding RNA is filed under the name Hevea brasiliensis (rubber tree). The record is from RNAcentral. Lineage: Eukaryota; Viridiplantae; Streptophyta; Magnoliopsida; Malpighiales; Euphorbiaceae.
AAUCGGCCAAAAUCCACAUAUCCCUGCACAAUUAUAAGAAGUUCAGAAAAUGAAUUAUGACUAUAUCAAAAUAAAUAUGAUGUACAUGGUGUUAUGAUAUUGCUAAAGCUUAUAGAGCUUUAGAGUUGUGCCAAAGUGGUCCUGGAUUAACCAUCAAUUUAUUAUGGUCCCGGAAAUUUAGGACAAAAGAACGCUUCCAAAACAAUGGCAACCAUUAAUGACUGAAUGAUCUGCAGUGAGAACACUUAUUUUUUGGUAAUUUUUGCAAGUCAAACACCAGAAUCCUAACUGUCUGAGAAAAAAAUAAAAAACUAGUCUUAUUUGUCAGUCAACAAAAAUUUUCUCAUUUGGUAAAGAAUAUCUAUAUUUGUUUUUAAAGUCUAAUUUCACAUAAUUAGUAAAGAAUAUUACCUUGAAUACGUGCCAUUCACGCCAGAGAAUGGCAAUCCAAUUAAUUGCUAGAGUUAUGAUUUUCUUAAGUUUCAUGAUAAACUGUAUUUCCACUUACAGCCAUGAACCACCAUCAAAGUAAAAGAUGUUAACAAUAACAAGCGUAGAUACAAAAUUUUCGUCAAUACCAUGUCUAAGUUGCAUGAGUGGUUAAGUUUUGCAAAUUGUGUUAAUAAUUUGACUAAAUAUAGUGAUUAAAUAAGAAAGCCUUAAUGUAAUUAUUUCCUACUCAUCUUCUAAUUACUAGGGAAUCAAUUAUUUUCUGCACCAACAUUUUCAUA